GGGCGGUUAGCUCAGUGGUUAGAGCGCUGCGUUGACAUCGCAGAGGUCACUGGUUCAAGUCCAGUACCGCCCACCA
RNAcentral lists this transfer RNA (76 nucleotides) under Dehalococcoidales bacterium. RNAcentral's name for it is "tRNA-Val". It matches the Rfam family "tRNA". Rfam says of the family: Transfer RNA (tRNA) molecules are approximately 80 nucleotides in length. Lineage: Bacteria; Bacillati; Chloroflexota; Dehalococcoidia; Dehalococcoidales. RNAcentral also lists the same sequence under 2 other names. The record is from RNAcentral.